This is a long non-coding RNA of Megalopta genalis, 1205 nucleotides long. RefSeq lists it as uncharacterized. The record is from RefSeq and is a predicted model, not a curated record. Lineage: Eukaryota; Metazoa; Arthropoda; Insecta; Hymenoptera; Halictidae.
GUCAUCGACAAUACCCUAACUCUGCGGUGCUUGAAAAUAAAGGCAUUGUUCGACGCGGGUCAUUCGCAACACAGGAAUUAGGCGAUCGGAACGAUUUGACUGAUUGCCGACGGCCUCGUGAUCGAUUUAUCAUAGUCCACGUGCGCGGAGAUUGAAUCGUCGCAGCCCGUAGUGAAGACGUCCGCCGGUUUGACGUUCCCCCCUUCGGGCCUGGUCGGGCCUCCUCGGGCCUCCCUCCGCUGGAAUAAAGGAGAGAGAUGACGGAGGAUCUGCAGCGAGACCCGCGGCGUGAUAAUCGACCAGGAGCACAGAAAAAAAUAAGGACGCCCAUACGGGAGAGCAAGUUGAGGAUCGUUCGCAGGGCUAUCCCUUAGCUUAGCGUAUCUUGAGCGUGAAUAGAAUUAUUGGCACAUUAUCGGAAGAGGUAUCGAGUAGACGAAGAGCAGAGUGGCCACCAGGCGCGGUCGCUCUAAGAUGAAAAUCGGCCCCGAUGAUCGCUGUACAUGGGGAUUCCUCGGGGUGUAUCUGCAUCCCUGAAAAAGGGCGUCAUGCAUGGCUCCUCGCGCGCCGGGGUGUCAUCUGCGCCCCCCUAGAGCUAUAUCUGCGUCUAUCUGCCGGGAAGCAUCGACAGUGAACGGUCUCCGCGAAAAGAGGUUAUGUUGUCACAUGACAGUCCAUUAGGACGCUCACGAACAGUUCGAACUCGUUGACUAUCAAAUUAUUGUUAUCAUAACCAUCUGGCGGCCGGUUCGACGAGCCUAAAAGCCGUCGGCCGGGCUGUUCGUCGGAUCAAAGAAAGUCCCGACGCUUCGAUUCUGCCGGAACGGCAAACAUAACGCGAAAUUCCCUGGCGGAUAGAUAGCAAAGUGAGCGUCGAACGAAUCGGCAAAGUGCCUUGGGGACCGGCCAGAGUUUUAUACGAAGGGGAACAAAGAGUCCCGUGUGUUCAGGCCCGAAGAACGACGCUGCAUCGGCUUUCAACGGGGCGGUUCAAAUAUGCAUUCGUGACCGAAGACACGGAUUAAAGAUCAAAAGACCGUGCGUCGUAUUUCUCCCGCGACGCAUGUCUCUACAUCCUCGCAUAUGUGUUUUUCUUCCGAUUCUUCCUGCGACAAUGAAAACAUAAUGAAAGACAAUCGGCAACGAGACGAAGAAUUUCAUGCUUGUUCUAAAUAAUAAUGGAAUAAUAAUGUGAAUGCAGCACA